Long non-coding RNA from Herpailurus yagouaroundi (jaguarundi), 367 nucleotides. RefSeq lists it as uncharacterized. The record is from RefSeq and is a predicted model, not a curated record. NCBI's taxonomy places the organism in Eukaryota, Metazoa, Chordata, Mammalia, Carnivora, Felidae. The transcript has 3 exons.
AUCCCUCUGUGGGCACACCUUCUUCCUGCCGGCCACCUCCAGUAGCCAUGUUGAUGAGGUCAAGGCCCCUCUACCUUCGUUGUGGUUGACGGCUGGGACCCAGAGUUGUGGAAUCGCGUGACGUCGCAGCGCGGCGCCGCCGCGCAGUAGAGUCUGGACUAGAUCAGUUUCUGACGCACAAAUUCAAGGUCGGGGAGGUUGGUUGGGAGGCAUGGAAGAAAGGCCAUCCAAGAACAUAGCAAGAAGACAGUCAUCUCUAAGCCAGGAAUAGAAGUGUUGCCAGAAACCAACCUUGUUGGUGGCACCUUGACUUUAAUCUUCCAGCCUGCAGAACUAUCAAUACCCAGUUGUUCCAGGGAGCCUGGGU